Molecule: ribosomal RNA, 254 nt
Filed under: uncultured bacterium
Lineage: Bacteria
Description: partial 16S ribosomal RNA
Rfam family: Bacterial small subunit ribosomal RNA
Source: RNAcentral
UACGUAGGGAGCGAGCGUUGUCCGGAUUUAUUGGGCGUAAAGCGCGCGUAGGCGGUUUGGUAAGCCGGAUGUGAAACCUCCAAGCUCAACUUGGAGCCGCCAUCCGGAACUGUCAUGACUUGAGUCAGGUAGGGGAACACGGAAUUCCAGGUGUAGCGGUGAAAUGCUUAGAUAUCGGGAGGAACACCUGUGGCGAAAGCGGCGCACUGGACCACAACUGACGCUGAGGCGCGAAAGCUAGGGGAGCAAACAGG